RNAcentral lists this ribosomal RNA (440 nucleotides) under uncultured bacterium. RNAcentral describes it as "partial 16S ribosomal RNA". It matches the Rfam family "Bacterial small subunit ribosomal RNA", at positions 338 to 795 of the family's 1533-position model. The record is from RNAcentral.
CCUACGGGAGGCAGCAGUGGGGAAUAUUGCACAAUGGGGGAAACCCUGAUGCAGCGACGCCGCGUGAAGGAAGAAGUAUUUAGGUAUGUAAACUUCUAUCAGCAGGGAAGAAAAUGACGGUACCUGACUAAGAAGCCCCGGCUAACUACGUGCCAGCAGCCGCGGUAAUACGUAGGGGGCAAGCGUUAUCCGGAUUUACUGGGUGUAAAGGGAGCGUAGGCGGCGAUGCAAGUCAGAAGUGAAAGUCCGGGGCUCAACUCCGGGAUUGCUUUUGAAACUGUGUUGCUAGAGUGCAGGAGAGGUAAGUGGAAUUCCUGGUGUAGCGGUGAAAUGCGUAGAUAUUAGGAGGAACACCAGUGGCGAAGGCGGCUUACUGGACUGUAAAUGACGCUGAGGCUCGAAAGCGUGGGGAGCAAACAGGAUUAGAUACCCUAGUAGUC